RNAcentral lists this unclassified non-coding RNA (148 nucleotides) under uncultured Sordariales. RNAcentral's name for it is "sequence contains ITS2". The record is from RNAcentral. Lineage: Eukaryota; Fungi; Ascomycota; Sordariomycetes; Sordariales.
UUCAACCAUCAAGCCUCAGGCUUGUGUUGGGGCCCUGCGGCUGCCGCAGUCUCCUAAAAGCAGUGGCGGACUCGCUGUCAUACCGAGCGCAGUAAUACAUCUCGCUCUUGGCGUGUCAGCGGGCACCGGCCGUUAAAUACUUCACUAA